UGGGGAAUAUUGGACAAUGGGGGGAACCCUGAUCCAGCCAUGCCGCGUGUGUGAAGAAGGCCUUUUGGUUGUAAAGCACUUUAAGCGAGGAGGAGGCUCCCAGUAUUAAUACUACUGGAGAGUGGACGUUACUCGCAGAAUAAGCACCGGCUAACUCUGUGC
RNAcentral lists this ribosomal RNA (162 nucleotides) under uncultured bacterium. RNAcentral's name for it is "partial 16S ribosomal RNA". It matches the Rfam family "Bacterial small subunit ribosomal RNA", at positions 355 to 508 of the family's 1533-position model. The record is from RNAcentral.